Molecule: long non-coding RNA, 617 nt
Organism: Argentina anserina (silverweed cinquefoil)
Lineage: Eukaryota; Viridiplantae; Streptophyta; Magnoliopsida; Rosales; Rosaceae
Exons: 3
Source: RefSeq, a predicted model, not a curated record
CGGAAGUUACUGCUGUGGCGGUGCCGCCUCCUCCGGCCACCAUGGCUCAAGAUUCUUGGGGGGUUUUGCUUGUCUCAGUCCCAGCAACAUUCCCACAAAAGGAAUCGAGCCAAAUCGAAGUGUGACUGACGAAACGAGUGAGGAAAUUACUUUCAGGGUCGUGGAAGUUGCACGCAGGAAAGAAGUGGAUAACUCCGCAGGUGUGGAUUAGCGGGAAUUGACGGACCGCUCAGAGGACUUGAAGUUAUUUAUCUCCAGCUUGUGUGAGGAUUUUGUGUGACUAUCUUGUGAGUUUGUUGUGAGGAUUACGCAAUUCCAUUUGUUAUAAUAUUGAAUUAUAAUUUGGGUUGUAAUAAUCGGUUUAACUGAGUUGUAUUUUGAACUCAGAGAUGAUCCGCUGUGGCAUUUUAAAUGAUUUCGAUUCGUUGAAAUUGUUUGGUGUUUAACGACUUUGAAAUUUUGAGUUUUUAAGCUCGAAAUUUUGGGGUCGUUACAGUUGGUAUCAGAGCCUAAGUGUGUAUUUGGCGAUUAUCAAUAUCAUCCGGGAGCGAUGAUCCGACUGCAGGCGGGCACCCAUCACAUGCUCCUCGGUAUUGAUAUGUCGUCGGGUACGCGAG